This 423-nucleotide long non-coding RNA is filed under the name Lepisosteus oculatus (spotted gar). RNAcentral describes it as "lncRNA (ENSLOCG00000022372.1)". Lineage: Eukaryota; Metazoa; Chordata; Actinopteri; Semionotiformes; Lepisosteidae. The record is from RNAcentral.
UGUGAUUUUUUUUUUUAGUUUACCACAUUACCAAAUGAACACAAUUGGAAAGAGUUUAAAGAAGACUGAUCAGAGUGAUUCCAGACCCGGAAGAAAUGUCAUACACAGGCAGGCAUGGUGUGCAGAUAUGGAGGAACAAAGCCUUCUUCACAAAAAGCAGAUCUAUUCAGAAGAAUCCACCCGCCCACCUUCAUGAUUAAAGAUCCACGGAUGUCAAAGAAAGAUCAUGGAGUGUUUCAUGGAUUUUGAUGACUUCGUUCGGGAUCCAUCCUACAAGUUGCCUACCAGAUUGCAAGAAGAACUUAUCAUUUCCUUCCUGCACAGCGUGUCUUGUCAUUGCAAAAUGCAGGCUGCAGUGGAUCAUGUCCCACAGUUCACUGGCCUGAAAAGUACAAAAGAAUGACAGAGGAAAGACAAAACCGC